AGACGUAUCCUACGGGAGACAGCAGUGGGGAAUAUUGGGCAAUGGGCGCAAGCCUGACCCAGCAACGCCGCGUGAAGGAAGAAGGCUUUCGGGUUGUAAACUUCUUUUCUCAGGGACGAACAGAUGACGGUACCUGAGGAAUAAGCCACGGCUAACUACGUGCC
This 164-nucleotide ribosomal RNA is filed under the name uncultured bacterium. RNAcentral's name for it is "partial 16S ribosomal RNA". It matches the Rfam family "Bacterial small subunit ribosomal RNA", at positions 329 to 509 of the family's 1533-position model. The record is from RNAcentral.